Molecule: microRNA precursor, 58 nt
Filed under: Sphenodon punctatus (tuatara)
Lineage: Eukaryota; Metazoa; Chordata; Lepidosauria; Sphenodontia; Sphenodontidae
Description: Spt-Mir-204-P4_pre stem-loop
Rfam family: mir-204 microRNA precursor family
Source: RNAcentral
UUCCCUUUGUCAUCCUAUGCCUGAGAGUUCCCUGGAGGCUGGGACGGUGAAGGGACGC